UGCAAGUUGAACGGUAACAUGUUGUAGCAAUACGAUGAUGACGAGUGGCGCACGGGUGCGUAACACGUGUGUAACCUACCUUAUACAGGAACAUAACGUUGAGAAAUCGGCGCUAACAUUCCAUAAUAUUAUUUGUAGGCAUCUAUGAAUAAUUAAAACUCCGGUGGUAUAAGAUGGGCACGCGUUCCAUUAGCUAGUUGGUAAGGUAACGGCUUACCAAGGCAACGAUGGAUAGGGGUUCUGAGAGGAUAAUCCCCCACACUGGAACUGAGACACGGUCCAGACUCCUACGGGAGGCAGCAGUAAGGAAUAUUGGGCAAUGGAGGCAACUCUGACCCAGCCAUGCCGCGUGCAGGAAGACGGCCCUAUGGGUUGUAAACUGCUUUUAAUAGGGAUUAAAGUCGACUACGUGUAGUUGUUUGCAAGUACCUAUAGAAUAAGCAUCGGCUAACUCCGUGCCAGCAGCCGCGGUAAUACGGAGGAUGCAAGCGUUAUCCGGAUUUAUUGGGUUUAAAGGGUGCGCAGGCGGACUAAUAAGUCAGUGGUGAAAUUUACAUGCUUAACAUGUGACGUGCCAUUGAUACUGUUAGACUAGUAUACAAAUGACGUAGCUGGAAUGUGUUAUGUAGCGGUGAAAUGCAUAGAUAUAACACAGAACACCGAUCGUGAAGACAGGUUACGAAUUUGUGAUAGACGCUCAUGCACGAAAGCGUGGGGAUCAAACAGGAUUAGAUACCCUGGUAGUCCACGCUGUAAACGAUGAUAACUUGUUGUUGGGCACAUAGUGCUCAGUGGCUAAGCGAAAGCGAUAAGUUAUCCACCUGGGGAGUACGAUCGCAAAGGUGAAACUCAAAGGAAUUGACGGGGGGCCCGCACAAGCGGGAGGAGCAUGUGGUUUAUUUCGAUGAUACGCGAGGAACCUUACCCCGGGCUCGAACGUAU
Molecule: ribosomal RNA, 942 nt
Filed under: uncultured bacterium
Lineage: Bacteria
Description: bacterial SSU rRNA
Rfam family: Bacterial small subunit ribosomal RNA
Source: RNAcentral